AGAUUGAACGCUGGCGGCAUGCCUAACACAUGCAAGUCGAACGGUAACAGGUCUUCGGAUGCUGACGAGUGGCGGACGGGUGAGUAAUGCGUAGGAAUCUGUCUUUUAGUGGGGGACAACCCAGGGAAACUUGGGCUAAUACCGCAUGAGCCCUGAGGGGGAAAGCGGGGGAUCUUCGGACCUCGCGCUAAGGGAAGAGCCUACGUCUGAUUAGCUAGUUGGUAGGGUAAAGGCUACCAAGGCGACGAUCAGUAGCUGGUCUGAGAGGACGACCAGCCACACUGGGACUGAGACACGGCCCAGACUCCUACGGGAGGCAGCAGUGGGGAAUUUUUCGCAAUGGGGGCAACCCUGACGAAGCAAUGCCGCGUGGAUGAAGAAGGCCUUCGGGUUGUAAAGUCCUUUCGUGGGGGACGAAAAGGCGGGUCCUAAUACGAUCUGCUGUUGACGUGAACCCAAGAAGAAGCACCGGCUAACUCCGUGCCAGCAGCCGCGGUAAUACGGGGGGUGCAAGCGUUA
This 519-nucleotide ribosomal RNA is filed under the name uncultured Acidithiobacillus ferrooxidans. RNAcentral describes it as "bacterial SSU rRNA". It matches the Rfam family "Bacterial small subunit ribosomal RNA", at positions 26 to 543 of the family's 1533-position model. The record is from RNAcentral. Lineage: Bacteria; Pseudomonadati; Pseudomonadota; Acidithiobacillia; Acidithiobacillales; Acidithiobacillaceae.